UAGGGGGCGAGCGUUGUUCGGAAUCAUUGGGCGUAAAGGGUGCGCAGGUGGCCGAUCAAGUCUGGCGUGAAAGUGCGGGGCUCAACUCCGUGAUGCGCUGGAAACUGGCCGGCUAGAGUACAGCAGGGGGCGUCGGAAUUCCAGGUGUAGGGGUGAAAUCUGUAGAUAUCUGGAAGAACACCGGUGGCGAAGGCGGACGCCUGGGCAUGUACUGACACUGAGGCACGAAGGUGCGGGGAGCAAA
This 244-nucleotide ribosomal RNA is filed under the name uncultured bacterium. RNAcentral describes it as "partial 16S ribosomal RNA". It matches the Rfam family "Bacterial small subunit ribosomal RNA", at positions 528 to 772 of the family's 1533-position model. The record is from RNAcentral.